GGGGCUGUAGCUCAGCGGGAGAACGUCUGCUUUUCACACAAAAGACCCAGGUUCAAUUCCCGUCAUCUCUG
This 71-nucleotide transfer RNA is filed under the name Sphaerodactylus townsendi. RNAcentral describes it as "tRNA-Glu". It matches the Rfam family "tRNA". From Rfam's summary of the family: Transfer RNA (tRNA) molecules are approximately 80 nucleotides in length. Their secondary structure includes four short double-helical elements and three loops (D, anti-codon, and T loops). Further hydrogen bonds mediate the characteristic L-shaped molecular structure. tRNAs have two regions of fundamental functional importance: the anti-codon, which is responsible for specific mRNA codon recognition, and the 3' end, to which the tRNAs corresponding amino acid is attached (by aminoacyl-tRNA synthetases). tRNAs cope with the degeneracy of the genetic code in two manners: having more than one tRNA (with a specific anti-codon) for a particular amino acid; and 'wobble' base-pairing, i.e. permitting non-standard base-pairing at the 3rd anti-codon position. The record is from RNAcentral. Lineage: Eukaryota; Metazoa; Chordata; Lepidosauria; Squamata; Sphaerodactylidae.